UGUGUGAUCUAAUGUUUCAGGCGCAGUUCCUUUCAUUCAUCAUCAUUUAUGGAAGAUUGCUGUUGAAACCGUCUUGCAAAUAUCCAAAAUUAAUCAGCUUUUUCUUCGUACCACAAAAUUUUUUCAUGCUACUGCUGUUCGCAGAUUUUUAUAGGAGAGCCUAUUUUUCGAAAAAGAAGAACUGAACAUCGAAAUGAAAUCCCUCACAAAUCUCCGAUGGAAGAAAACUUCGUUUUAGAAGUCGAUAGAUGUAAUUUCACUCAGCGUUGUGUUGUUGUAUGUUGCCACAGUCAUAAAUGAAUUACCAUAUUAAUUCAACUUGCUCUGAUCUGAUAUCUUUUGGACUCUCAGCUGAUGCGGUGGUGUACAAUAAAACAUUUCCUAGUGACGAAAAGUUUUUGAAAUACAAAAAAUUUCAUGACA
This is a long non-coding RNA of Leptinotarsa decemlineata (Colorado potato beetle), 423 nucleotides long. NCBI's taxonomy places the organism in Eukaryota, Metazoa, Arthropoda, Insecta, Coleoptera, Chrysomelidae. The record is from RefSeq and is a predicted model, not a curated record.